This 637-nucleotide long non-coding RNA is filed under the name Androctonus crassicauda. Lineage: Eukaryota; Metazoa; Arthropoda; Arachnida; Scorpiones; Buthidae. The record is from RNAcentral.
GCGCAUGCUUACUGUGGGUGUUGUUUGUAGAGUCAGACUUUUGCUUUCAAUUAUAGAGUUUGAGAAAGUUAGGGAUCCUUGAUGGAAGGCGGAAUAUUGCUAAUCUUUUCCUUUUCGUGUCGAUAACGUAGGAUCAGCUUAUGACAUUCAUGCUAGGUAAGCGAUGUCGAAAGUAAAAAAACUCAACGUCAAGAUUUAAGCCUAACAUUAGUCCUACGAAUUAAAAGGGGGAAAAUCGAUUUCGGUCUAAUAAAUAGAUCGAUAAACAAUAAAUAAAUGUUACUAAUUUCUGAGAUAAACGAGAGUGAAGAUGGUGUUACGUAUCAGACUUAAGCCGCUUAUAUGCAUAUGAAAUUUAUAUAUAGGCCUAUAUAUAUUAUAUAUAUAUAUAGUUUUGUCUUGCUCUGAUUUUUUUUUGUUUUGGAAAUGUUUGCAACGUCAACUCGAGACACCGAUCAUCAAUUUUACGACUUCGAAAAUGAAGAAAACGCAGCUAAAUGGAAAAGUUUACUCGUAUCAGCUUUGCAGAAGGUAAUAUUUGAUUUUUUUAAUUCCAAUUUCAGCAUUUUAAAAUUUAUAAACAGUUUAGUUCAAGAUAGUAUGCAACCCAAUGAUGCAACCUUAUUUUGUUUUUCUG